This 253-nucleotide ribosomal RNA is filed under the name uncultured bacterium. Its description in RNAcentral is "partial 16S ribosomal RNA". It matches the Rfam family "Bacterial small subunit ribosomal RNA", at positions 524 to 776 of the family's 1533-position model. The record is from RNAcentral.
UACGAAGGGGGCUAGCGUUGCUCGGAAUUACUGGGCGUAAAGCGCACGUAGGCGGAUUGUUAAGUCGGAGGUGAAAUCCUGGAGCUCAACUCCAGAACUGCCUUCGAAACUGGCGAUCUCGAGUCCGGGAGAGGUGAGUGGAACUGCGAGUGUAGAGGUGAAAUUCGUAGAUAUUCGCAAGAACACCAGUGGCGAAGGCGGCUCACUGGCCCGGUACUGACGCUGAGGUGCGAAAGCGUGGGGAGCAAACAGG